RNAcentral lists this long non-coding RNA (911 nucleotides) under Homo sapiens (human). RNAcentral's name for it is "non-protein coding lnc-ZNF598-2:1". Lineage: Eukaryota; Metazoa; Chordata; Mammalia; Primates; Hominidae. The record is from RNAcentral.
AUGUGUAGUCCGCAGGAGUCCGGCAUGACCGCCUUGAGCGCGAGGAUGCUGACCCGGAGCCGGAGCCUGGGACCCGGGGCUGGGCCGCGGGGGUGUAGGGAGGAGCCCGGGCCUCUCCGGAGAAGAGAGGCUGCAGCAGGUAGCGCCGCGCCGUGGCUGGAGCGUGGGAGGAGGCGGGAUAGGGGCUGCAGGCUGGAGUCCCGGGCCGCCUCCUGCGGCUCCCAGCUGCGCGGGCAGGGGCUGCAAACCCGGCAGCCGCGAACGGUUCCCACGUGCGGCCCUGCGUUCCCACCUUGCGCCUUUUUCCCAAAGAUUGCGGUCCGCAGGGGCUGGGUUUCGGGCGCUCCGCUCCGCUGCCCCCUUUCGCCCCAAGCAAGAAAACGCUUCCUUUCCCACCACUCUGUCCGGGACUCUCCACUCCAGGCUCUGUGGGUCCCAUCCCCGCCCUCCUGCAGUGAACUUGCUGUCCUCGGAGAGGCUGGGUGCCAAGGACACACGCAGCCAGAAGCCUGCUCCCCCAGCUCGGGGGAGGGUGCCUCUGAGGGAAAACAGGAAAGGGCAUGGCACUUAUUAUAUUUAUCCUGCAGCCGUUGAGGACCUGCUGGGGGCCAAGCACUGCAGUGAGCAGUGAGGGACACGGACAGGGCCUCUGCGCUAGUCCCGCUGGGACUUCUGCAGAAUUGGCCAGAGCUGGAUUCCCAUAGGCACCCAGGGACCCCAGGGGUAGUCCAGACUAUGUCAGGAGGAACUGGUGCAGCUGGGAGCAGGCAGGUGGUGAUGCCAGCCAGGGUGGCAGGAGCUUUGAUGCCAGGAUAGAGUUUGGAGUUUAUUAUGACAGUAAACGGAAGUCAAUUAGGAGGUUUUGUUGUUUGUUUUGAGAUCGGGUCUUGCUCUGUCACCCAGGCUGUAGU